AACGAACGCUGGCGGCAUGCCUAACACAUGCAAGUCGAACGAGACCUUCGGGUCUAGUGGCGCACGGGUGCGUAACGCGUGGGAACCUGCCCUUAGGUUCGGAAUAACUCCCCGACAGGGGUGCUAAUACCGGAUAAUGUCUUCGGACCAAAGAUUUAUCGCCUUUGGAUGGGCCCGCGUUGGAUUAGCUAGUUGGUAGGGUAAAAGCCUACCAAGGCGACGAUCCAUAGCUGGUCUGAGAGGAUGAUCAGCCACACUGGGACUGAGACACGGCCCAGACUCCUACGGGAGGCAGCAGUGGGGAAUAGUGGACAAUGGGCGAAAGCCUGAUCCAGCAAUGCCGCGUGAGUGAUGAAGGCCUUAGGGUUGUAAAGCUCUUUUAACCGGGAUGAUAAUGACAGUACCGGGAGAAUAAGCUCCGGCUAACUCCGUG
RNAcentral lists this ribosomal RNA (433 nucleotides) under uncultured bacterium. RNAcentral's name for it is "partial 16S ribosomal RNA". It matches the Rfam family "Bacterial small subunit ribosomal RNA", at positions 29 to 507 of the family's 1533-position model. The record is from RNAcentral.